UUUAUUUAUUGUUAUUGGUUUAGAAUAGGCUUGGAGACAGCAAAUCCUCAUGGGGAGCGAACGGGAUUAGAUACCCUGGUAGUCCAUGCCAUAAACGAUGAGUGUUCACCCCUGGUCUACGUGGAUCAGGGGCCCAGAACACUCCGCAUGGGGAGUACGGUCACAAGACCGAAACUCAAAGGAAUUUACGGGGGCCUGCACAAGCGGUGGAGCAUGUGGUUUAAUUCGAUACAACGCGCAAAACCUUACCAGCCCUUGAAAUAUGAAAAAUAAAACCAGUCCUUAACGGGAUGGUACUUACUUUCAUACAGGUGCUGCAUGGUUGUCGUCAGCUCGUGUCGUGAGAUGUUUGGUCAAGUCCUAUAACGAGCGAAACCCUCGUUUUAUGUUGCUGAGACAUGCGCCUAAGGAUAAAGUCUUUACAACCGAAGUAAGCCGAGGAGCCGAGUGAUUAAGAAAGCCAGCGCUACUAAUAUAUUUAGUGUCAACAUGUAGCUGUGCUGUCAAUAAGAAGGGAGUCGACGCCUUUCGAAUUCGAAGCACUUUCUAGUGUGCGCUCUUUUUUUAUUGCAGCUUUUUUAGAGCAAGAAAACGGAUGCGCGUUAGCCCUUUAUUAGUAAUGGGGGCUUUCUUUUUUUCCAGCUCAAUCCCUUGCUUCUUGCUUUACUAAAUAGAAAGGGUUUUUCUCGCUUUUUUAGUAAAGUCCAGUUUUUGGCCUUAUCUUGCAGGUGACGACGACGUCGAGUUGGCGGCGGAGAAAGACUCGGCAUUCAGGCGAGCCGCCCGGUGGUGUGGUACGUAGUGGGUUUAGUACGCCCCGCCAAAACGGCUCCGAAAUAAACUAAAAGGUGCAUGCCGCACUCACGAGGGACUGCCAGUGAUAUACUGGAGGAAGGUGGGGAUGACGUCAAGUCCGCAUGGCCCUUAUGGGCUGGGCCACACACGUGCUACAAUGGCAAUUACAAUGGGAAGCAAGGCUGUAAGGCGGAGCGAAUCCAUAAAGAUUGCCUCAGUUCGGAUUGUUCUCUACAACUCGGGAACAUGAAGUUAGAAUCGCUAGUAAUCGUGGAUCAGCACUGUGAACACCCAAUUUUGUCCGGCCCAAACUAACUUUUCAAAAAAUAUAAAAUAAAUUUAAAAAUAAACAUAUUUCAAAAAAUAAAAAUUAACAAGUGCCAAAAAUGCUUAAUUAGUUGACUAAAUAAUAUUUACUUUUCAU
This is a ribosomal RNA of Lupinus angustifolius (narrow-leaved blue lupine), 1219 nucleotides long. It matches the Rfam family "Bacterial small subunit ribosomal RNA". The record is from Rfam. Lineage: Eukaryota; Viridiplantae; Streptophyta; Magnoliopsida; Fabales; Fabaceae.